This 643-nucleotide ribosomal RNA is filed under the name Enterobacter sichuanensis. RNAcentral's name for it is "partial 23S ribosomal RNA". Lineage: Bacteria; Pseudomonadati; Pseudomonadota; Gammaproteobacteria; Enterobacterales; Enterobacteriaceae. The record is from RNAcentral.
GGUUAAGCGACUAAGCGUACACGGUGGAUGCCCUGGCAGUCAGAGGCGAUGAAGGACGUGCUAAUCUGCGAAAAGCGCCGGCGAGGUGAUAUGAACCUUUGACCCGGCGAUGUCCGAAUGGGGAAACCCAGUGUGUUCCGACACACUAUCGUUAACUGAAUACAUAGGUUAACGAGGCGAACCGGGGGAACUGAAACAUCUAAGUACCCCGAGGAAAAGAAAUCAACCGAGAUUCCCCCAGUAGCGGCGAGCGAACGGGGAGCAGCCCAGAGUCUGAAUCAGCUUGUGUGUUAGUGGAACGGUCUGGAAAGUCCGACGGUACAGGGUGAUAGUCCCGUACACGAAAAURCACAGGUUGUGAACUCGAAGAGUAGGGCGGGACACGUGGUAUCCUGUCUGAAUAUGGGGGGACCAUCCUCCAAGGCUAAAUACUCCUGACUGACCGAUAGUGAACCAGUACCGUGAGGGAAAGGCGAAAAGAACCCCGGCGAGGGGAGUGAAAAAGAACCUGAAACCGUGUACGUACAAGCAGUGGGAGCACCUUCGGGUGUGACUGCGUACCUUUUGUAUAAUGGGUCAGCGACUUAUAUUCUGUAGCAAGGUUAACCGUAUAGGGGAGCCGAAGGGAAACCGAGUCUUAACU